This 715-nucleotide long non-coding RNA is filed under the name Capra hircus (goat). Its description in RNAcentral is "lncRNA (ENSCHIG00010019326.1)". The record is from RNAcentral. Lineage: Eukaryota; Metazoa; Chordata; Mammalia; Artiodactyla; Bovidae.
UGGGCCCAGGCUGAUGGGGCAGGGCAUCCCCUGCAGCCGGCCAGGCCAGGAACAGACCCACCGGUCUGUCUCCUGGGUCCUCCAGAGGAGAUCCAUUGGAGACUGCGCCCACCUGUCUCCUUAUCUGUGAUAAUAGGCCGAAUGGGUGGGACUGGAAUAGCUUUGGUUGAUAUUUGUUUUUUUAACCACAGAACCCAGUUCUGAAGCCAUAUGUUUCAAAGCCAAGUUGGUCAAAUAGACCAAGUGAAGGUGCAGGGCUAGGAGCUGAAGCUGGGACCAGGGUGGGUGAGUGUCAGCUGCACAUCUCCGCAUGAACCUACCCUAGAAGAGGGGCCCCGGGCCGCCCCGCAGGACCUGCUGGGGGUAGGUGCCAGGCCAUUGUGGGGGAGAGGGGCAGAGAAGCAGGAGAGGCCUGUCCAGGUGGUCUUGGCUCAGUGUGGCUCCCGGUCCGGCCAGCCCUCCUACUGCCCCCUGCUGGGCCGCCUCCUCCCUCCCUCUCCCCUCCCGAGGCCAUCUGCUUGCUUCAGCCCUGGUCCGCGCUGGCUGUUUUUUCUCUCAGAGCCUCCAAAUGCUGAGCAGAAAUCUGCCUCGUGGAGCUCCCACCCACUGCAGGCUGCCGCUCAUCCCUUUGCCCUCGCCUGCCCACCUCCCUCCUGAGAUGUGUGUUUACUUAGCAACGCGGCUUCCAGCUGAAUCUGAGAAGGGAGGCAGGGAG